UUGAACGCUGGCGGCAGGCCUCACACAUGCCAGUCGAGCGGAUGAGUGGAGCUUGCUCCAUGAUUCAGCGGCGGACGGGUGAGUAAUGCCUAGGAAUCUGCCUGGUAGUGGGGGACAACGUUUCGAAAGGAACGCUAAUACCGCAUACGUCCUACGGGAGAAAGUGGGGGAUCUUCGGACCUCACGCUAUCAGAUGAGCCUAGGUCGGAUUAGCUAGUUGGUGAGGUAAAGGCUCACCAAGGCGACGAUCCGUAACUGGUCUGAGAGGAUGAUCAGUCACACUGGAACUGAGACACGGUCCAGACUCCUACGGGAGGCAGCAGUGGGGAAUAUUGGACAAUGGGCGAAAGCCUGAUCCAGCCAUGCCGCGUGUGUGAAGAAGGUCUUCGGAUUGUAAAGCACUUUAAGUUGGGAGGAAGGGCAGUAAGUUAAUACCUUGCUGUUUUGACGUUACCAACAGAAUAAGCACCGGCUAACUUCGUG
Molecule: ribosomal RNA, 483 nt
Filed under: uncultured bacterium
Lineage: Bacteria
Description: partial 16S ribosomal RNA
Rfam family: Bacterial small subunit ribosomal RNA
Source: RNAcentral